GACGAACGCUGGCGGCGUGCCUAAUACAUGCAAGUCGAACGAGUGGCGGACGGGUGAGUAACACGUGGGAACCUACCCAUCAGAGGGGGAUAACACUUGGAAACAGGUGCUAAUACCGCAUACUGAUGGAUGGACCCGCGGUGCAUUAGCUAGUAGGUGGGGUAACGCCUCACCUAGGCGACGAUCCCUAGCUGGUCUGAGAGGAUGACAAGCCACACGGGAACUGAGACACGGCCCAGACUCCUAAGGGAGGCAGCAGUUGGGAAUAUUGCACAAUGGGCGCAAGCCUGAUGCAGCCAUGCCGCGGGUGUGAAGAAGGCCUUCGGGUUGUAAAGCACGUUCAGCGGGGAGGCGUUACCCGCAGAAGAAGCACCGGCUAACUCCGUGCCAGCCGCCGCGGUAAUAC
RNAcentral lists this ribosomal RNA (406 nucleotides) under uncultured bacterium. RNAcentral describes it as "partial 16S ribosomal RNA". It matches the Rfam family "Bacterial small subunit ribosomal RNA", at positions 28 to 526 of the family's 1533-position model. The record is from RNAcentral.